AACGCGAAGAACCUUACCUGGGCUCGAACGGCUUAAGAACAACGGUGGAAACACUGUCUUCCCGCAAGGGACUUGAGUCGAGGUGCUGCAUGGCUGUCGUCAGCUCGUGUCGUGAGAUGUUGGGUUAAGUCCCGCAACGAGCGCAACCCUCGUCCUGUGUUGCUAAUCGAAAGAUGCACUCUCAGGAGACCGCCAGCGAUAAGUUGGAGGAAGGUGGGGAUGACGUCAAGUCAUCAUGGCCUUUAUGUCCAGGGCUACACACGUGCUACAAUGGGCGGUACAAUGCGCUGCGAACCCGCGAGGGGAAGCUAAUCGCAAAAAACCGUCCUCAGUUCGGAUUGCAGGCUGCAACCCGCCUGCAUGAAGCUGGAAUCGCUAGUAAUGGCAUAUCAGAACGAUGCCGUGAAUACGUUCCCGGGCCUUGUACACACCGGAGUA
This 438-nucleotide ribosomal RNA is filed under the name uncultured bacterium. Its description in RNAcentral is "bacterial SSU rRNA". It matches the Rfam family "Bacterial small subunit ribosomal RNA", at positions 958 to 1398 of the family's 1533-position model. The record is from RNAcentral.